RNAcentral lists this long non-coding RNA (466 nucleotides) under Erythranthe guttata (spotted monkey flower). RNAcentral describes it as "long non-coding RNA (EGUT_LNC002085)". The record is from RNAcentral. Lineage: Eukaryota; Viridiplantae; Streptophyta; Magnoliopsida; Lamiales; Phrymaceae.
UUUGAAGUCAAAUUCACAAAUCAAAAUCCAUCAAAAAAACAUUAUGCUAUAAACAAUUUUCUUUUCUCAUUAGAAAUUUUGGAAAGAGAGCUUCGUUUCACAAUCUUAAGAUUACACGUGUCCAUGUCAAGUAGAAAGCAGAGAGAGCCAUUAGAGAAGAAGAAAAAAACAAAGAAAAGAAUGGCCACAACCCACAAGAAAAUCACUCAAAGAUUCCUCUUUCUUUCUUUUUUUUUUUUAAUUUCUUUUUCACCCUUUUUCAGCCAAUUACUACAGUUGUACUCUAAAACCCCCUUUUCCUUGUUUUAACCAGACACCUUCAAUGCGUGUAUAGGUACGUUUUUAUCUUCCUGCAUUUUCUUCAUAGUUUUCUUCUUCAAAAGUAUAUAUGGCUAUCUAGAUUUAAACAUAUAUAUAUAUAUAUGCGUUGUGCUGUAGAAAGCAGAUUUGGUCUUUGUCCAGAGGU